Molecule: ribosomal RNA, 611 nt
Filed under: uncultured Staphylococcus sp.
Lineage: Bacteria; Bacillati; Bacillota; Bacilli; Caryophanales; Staphylococcaceae
Description: bacterial SSU rRNA
Rfam family: Bacterial small subunit ribosomal RNA
Source: RNAcentral
UAGGGAAUCUUCCGCAAUGGACGAAAGUCUGACGGAGCAACGCCGCGUGAGUGAAGAAGGUUUUCGGAUCGUAAAACUCUGUUGUAAGGGAAGAACAAGUACGUUAGUAACUGAACGUACCUUGACGGUACCUUACCAGAAAGCCACGGCUAACUACGUGCCAGCAGCCGCGGUAAUACGUAGGUGGCAAGCGUUAUCCGGAAUUAUUGGGCGUAAAGCGCGCGUAGGCGGUCUCUUAAGUCUGAUGUGAAAGCCCCCGGCUCAACCGGGGAGGGUCAUUGGAAACUGGGAGACUUGAGUGCAGAAGAGGAGAGUGGAAUUCCAUGUGUAGCGGUGAAAUGCGCAGAGAUAUGGAGGAACACCAGUGGCGAAGGCGGCUCUCUGGUCUGUAACUGACGCUGAGGUGCGAAAGCGUGGGGAUCAAACAGGAUUAGAUACCCUGGUAGUCCACGCCGUAAACGAUGAGUGCUAAGUGUUGGGGGGUUUCCGCCCCUCAGUGCUGCAGCUAACGCAUUAAGCACUCCGCCUGGGGAGUACGGUCGCAAGACUGAAACUCAAAGGAAUUGACGGGGACCCGCACAAGCGGUGGAGCAUGUGGUUUAAUUCGAAGC